RNAcentral lists this long non-coding RNA (332 nucleotides) under Phaseolus vulgaris (common bean). Its description in RNAcentral is "long non-coding RNA (PVUL_LNC001595)". Lineage: Eukaryota; Viridiplantae; Streptophyta; Magnoliopsida; Fabales; Fabaceae. The record is from RNAcentral.
UUGAGGAGACCUCGUCCGCCUGGAUGGAUCCGCCCAGCCGGGAGGGUCUCGGCCAUUCCUGACGAAACGGCGGAGAUGCCCAACCUGGAUAAGUUCCUCGAUCUUAUCCUUAAGGGCCUGACACUCGUCGGUUGAGUGUUCGGUGUUUUGGUGGUACCGACAUUGCUUCCUCCGGUCGGCGUUAUUUAGGCUGGCCACCUUCCUUGGGGGAGGGAUCAGCUCAACGUUGAGGGCUUCGUCCAGAAUCCUCCCCCGCUCGGUCGUCAGGGGUGUAUACCUUGAGAACCGGAUCGGUCGUUCCUUUGACCCGGCCGCCCCUGACGAUCCUUUUC